This 740-nucleotide unclassified non-coding RNA is filed under the name uncultured Synechococcus sp. RNAcentral describes it as "partial contains 16S ribosomal RNA and 16S-23S ribosomal RNA intergenic spacer". The stretch from base 1 to 252 matches the Rfam family "Bacterial small subunit ribosomal RNA", at positions 1283 to 1533 of the family's 1533-position model. The record is from RNAcentral. Lineage: Bacteria; Bacillati; Cyanobacteriota; Cyanophyceae; Synechococcales; Synechococcaceae.
GUGGCUCAGUUCAGAUCGUAGGCUGCAACUCGCCUACGUGAAGGAGGAAUCGCUAGUAAUCGCAGGUCAGCAUACUGCGGUGAAUACGUUCCCGGGCCUUGUACACACCGCCCGUCACACCAUGGAAGUUGGCCACGCCCGAAGCCGUUACUCCAACCCUUGUGGAGGAGGACGUCGAAGGUGGGGCUGAUGACUGGGGUGAAGUCGUAACAAGGUAGCCGUACCGGAAGGUGCGGCUGGAUCACCUCCUAACAGGGAGACAAACAACGAUUUUGAUGUCUGAGUAAUCAAUUCUUAGGCCAAAAUCCUGUCACCUUAGGUCGAUCGGUACCUCAGUUUUGAAGUCAAGAAUUCAUAGAAAUAUGAGUUGCUUGAUGGAGAUUUUCAGUUCCUAAACUUUGUCUAGGUCACAUCCCACAAGGGUUGAGUCUUCCUGGGCCAUUAGCUCAGGUGGUUAGAGCGCACCCCUGAUAAGGGUGAGGUCCCUGGUUCAAGUCCAGGAUGGCCCAUUCGGUGUUGGGGGUUUAGCUCAGUUGGUAGAGCGCCUGCUUUGCAAGCAGGAUGUCAGGAGUUCGAGUCUCCUAACCUCCACUGAUCGAACUCAAUCUCCAUCUUCUGAAUGAUGGAAGGUGAACUCGAAUGUGAUGUGAUUUAGAUGUGUCCGCUGGCAUGACCCCAGCUUCCUGUCAUUCCGAAAUGACGUGACUAAUCACGAUAUUUUGGUUGAUAAGAUGCUGGGC